This 24-nucleotide non-coding RNA is filed under the name Arabidopsis thaliana (thale cress). Lineage: Eukaryota; Viridiplantae; Streptophyta; Magnoliopsida; Brassicales; Brassicaceae. The record is from RNAcentral.
UAGGACAAUUCGGCCUGAGAUGUC